Molecule: long non-coding RNA, 323 nt
Filed under: Gossypium barbadense (sea-island cotton)
Lineage: Eukaryota; Viridiplantae; Streptophyta; Magnoliopsida; Malvales; Malvaceae
Description: long non-coding RNA (GBAR_LNC009114)
Source: RNAcentral
CAAGAGUCCCAAAUAAAAGACCCUUGGCCGAAUUUCCAUAUUAAAAUAAUUAGGAGUUUUUUUUUAGUUUUAGUUUUAGUGUUCUAAUUAAAUUAGGAAAACAUUUGAAAGGCCUAUUUAUAUGGCUUGGCCAGCCACCCUACAUAACAUUACAAUUACAUUGAAAAUUUCAGAUUUGAUUUGAGUGAAAAUUCUCUUUGAGUUCUUCAAGAAUUUUCUCUUGAGUUUUCUUUAGAAGUUGUUUUAACAAUCUUUUUUGAUUGUGGGAGCCAUCUUCAACCUUCUUCUUGCCAUUGAUAUUCUUUGGAGGGGAGAUUAGAGCC